AAACCAACCGGGAUUGCCUUAGUAACGGCGAGUGAAGCGGCAAAAGCUCAAAUUUGAAAUCUGGUACCUUCGGUGCCCGAGUUGUAAUUUGGAGAGGGCAACUUUGGGGCCGUUCCCUGUCUAUGUUCCUUGGAACAGGACGUCAUAGAGGGUGAGAAUCCCGUGUGGCGAGGAGUGCGGUUCUUUGUAAAGUGCCUUCGAAGAGUCGAGUUGUUUGGGAAUGCAGCUCUAAGUGGGUGGUAAAUUCCAUCUAAAGCUAAAUAUUGGCGAGAGACCGAUAGCGAACAAGUACAGUGAUGGAAAGAUGAAAAGAACUUUGAAAAGAGAGUGAAAAAGUACGUGAAAUUGUUGAAAGGGAAGGGCAUUUGAUCAGACAUGGUGUUUUGUGCCCUCUGCUCCUUGUGGGUAGGGGAAUCUCGCAUUUCACUGGGCCAGCAUCAGUUUUGGUGGCAGGAUAAAUCCAUAGGAAUGUAGCUUGCCUCGGUAAGUAUUAUAGCCUGUGGGAAUACUGCCAGCUGGGACUGAGGACUGCGACGUAAGUCAAGGAUGCUGGCAUAAUGGUUAUAUGCCGC
RNAcentral lists this ribosomal RNA (572 nucleotides) under Saccharomyces cerevisiae (brewer's yeast). Its description in RNAcentral is "eukaryotic LSU rRNA". It matches the Rfam family "Eukaryotic large subunit ribosomal RNA", at positions 62 to 648 of the family's 3401-position model. The record is from RNAcentral. Lineage: Eukaryota; Fungi; Ascomycota; Saccharomycetes; Saccharomycetales; Saccharomycetaceae.